UUAAGUGACUAAGCGUACACGGUGGAUGCCCUGGCAGUCAGAGGCGAUGAAGGACGUGCUAAUCUGCGAUAAGCGUCGGUAAGGUGAUAUGAACCGUUAUAACCGGCGAUUUCCGAAUGGGGAAACCCAGUGUGUUUCGACACACUAUCAUUAACUGAAUCCAUAGGUUAAUGAGGCGAACCGGGGGAACUGAAACAUCUAAGUACCCCGAGGAAAAGAAAUCAACCGAGAUUCCCCCAGUAGCGGCGAGCGAACGGGGAGCAGCCCAGAGCCUGAAUCAGUGUGUGUGUUAGUGGAAGCGUCUGGAAAGGCGCGCGAUACAGGGUGACAGCCCCGUACACAAAAAUGCACAUACUGUGAGCUCGAUGAGUAGGGCGGGACACGUGGUAUCCUGUCUGAAUAUGGGGGGACCAUCCUCCAAGGCUAAAUACUCCUGACUGACCGAUAGUGAACCAGUACCGUGAGGGAAAGGCGAAAAGAACCCCGGCGAGGGGAGUGAAAAAGAACCUGAAACCGUGUACGUACAAGCAGUGGGAGCCUCUUUAUGGGGUGACUGCGUACCUUUUGUAUAAUGGGUCAGCGACUUAUAUUCUGUAGCAAGGUUAACCGAAUAGGGGAGCCGAAGGGAAACCGAGUCUUAACUGGGCGUUAAGUUGCAGGGUAUAGACCCGAAACCCGGUGAUCUAGCCAUGGGCAGGUUGAAGGUUGGGUAACACUAACUGAAGGACCGAACCGACUAAUGUUGAAAAAUUAGCGGAUGACUUGUGGCUGGGGGUGAAAGGCCAAUCAAACCGGGAGAUAGCUGGUUCUCCCCGAAAGCUAUUUAGGUAGCGCCUCGUGAAUUCAUCUCCGGGGGUAGAGCACUGUUUCGGCAAGGGGGUCAUCCCGACUUACCAACCCGAUGCAAACUGCGAAUACCGGAGAAUGUUAUCACGGGAGACACACGGCGGGUGCUAACGUCCGUCGUGAAGAGGGAAACAACCCAGACCGCCAGCUAAGGUCCCAAAGUCAUGGUUAAGUGGGAAACGAUGUGGGAAGGCCCAGACAGCCAGGAUGUUGGCUUAGAAGCAGCCAUCAUUUAAAGAAAGCGUAAUAGCUCACUGGUCGAGUCGGCCUGCGCGGAAGAUGUAACGGGGCUAAACCAUGCACCGAAGCUGCGGCAGCGACGCUGAUGCGUUGUUGGGUAGGGGAGCGUUCUGUAAGCCUGCGAAGGUGUGCUGUGAGGCAUGCUGGAGGUAUCAGAAGUGCGAAUGCUGACAUAAGUAACGAUAAAGCGGGUGAAAAGCCCGCUCGCCGGAAGACCAAGGGUUCCUGUCCAACGUUAAUCGGGGCAGGGUGAGUCGACCCCUAAGGCGAGGCCGAAAGGCGUAGUCGAUGGGAAACAGGUUAAUAUUCCUGUACUUGGUGUUACUGCGAAGGGGGGACGGAGAAGGCUAUGUUGGCCGGGCGACGGUUGUCCCGGUUUAAGCGUGUAGGCUGGUUUUCCAGGCAAAUCCGGAAAAUCAAGGCUGAGGCGUGAUGACGAGGCACUACGGUGCUGAAGCAACAAAUGCCCUGCUUCCAGGAAAAGCCUCUAAGCAUCAGGUAACAUCAAAUCGUACCCCAAACCGACACAGGUGGUCAGGUAGAGAAUACCAAGGCGCUUGAGAGAACUCGGGUGAAGGAACUAGGCAAAAUGGUGCCGUAACUUCGGGAGAAGGCACGCUGAUAUGUAGGUGAAGCGACUUGCUCGUGGAGCUGAAAUCAGUCGAAGAUACCAGCUGGCUGCAACUGUUUAUUAAAAACACAGCACUGUGCAAACACGAAAGUGGACGUAUACGGUGUGACGCCUGCCCGGUGCCGGAAGGUUAAUUGAUGGGGUCAGCGCAAGCGAAGCUCUUGAUCGAAGCCCCGGUAAACGGCGGCCGUAACUAUAACGGUCCUAAGGUAGCGAAAUUCCUUGUCGGGUAAGUUCCGACCUGCACGAAUGGCGUAAUGAUGGCCAGGCUGUCUCCACCCGAGACUCAGUGAAAUUGAACUCGCUGUGAAGAUGCAGUGUACCCGCGGCAAGACGGAAAGACCCCGUGAACCUUUACUAUAGCUUGACACUGAACAUUGAGCCUUGAUGUGUAGGAUAGGUGGGAGGCUUUGAAGUGUGGACGCCAGUCUGCAUGGAGCCGGCCUUGAAAUACCACCCUUUAAUGUUUGAUGUUCUAACGUGGACCCGUGAUCCGGGUUGCGGACAGUGUCUGGUGGGUAGUUUGACUGGGGCGGUCUCCUCCUAAAGAGUAACGGAGGAGCACGAAGGUUGGCUAAUCCUGGUCGGACAUCAGGAGGUUAGUGCAAUGGCAUAAGCCAGCUUGACUGCGAGCGUGACGGCGCGAGCAGGUGCGAAAGCAGGUCAUAGUGAUCCGGUGGUUCUGAAUGGAAGGGCCAUCGCUCAACGGAUAAAAGGUACUCCGGGGAUAACAGGCUGAUACCGCCCAAGAGUUCAUAUCGACGGCGGUGUUUGGCACCUCGAUGUCGGCUCAUCACAUCCUGGGGCUGAAGUAGGUCCCAAGGGUAUGGCUGUUCGCCAUUUAAAGUGGUACGCGAGCUGGGUUUAGAACGUCGUGAGACAGUUCGGUCCCUAUCUGCCGUGGGCGCUGGAGAACUGAGGGGGGCUGCUCCUAGUACGAGAGGACCGGAGUGGACGCAUCACUGGUGUUCGGGUUGUCAUGCCAAUGGCACUGCCCGGUAGCUAAAUGCGGAAGAGAUAAGUGCUGAAAGCAUCUAAGCACGAAACUUGCCCCGAGAUGAGUUCUCCCUGACUCCUUGAGAGUCCUGAAGGAACGUUGAAGACGACGACGUUGAUAGGCCGGGUGUGUAAGCGCAGCGAUGCGUUGAGCUAACCGGUACUAAUGAACCGUGAGGCUUAACCU
Molecule: ribosomal RNA, 2900 nt
Filed under: Escherichia coli
Lineage: Bacteria; Pseudomonadati; Pseudomonadota; Gammaproteobacteria; Enterobacterales; Enterobacteriaceae
Description: 23S ribosomal RNA
Rfam family: Bacterial large subunit ribosomal RNA
Source: RNAcentral